CUAACAUUUAUUUUUGAGACAUAAUAGAACUUUACUUUAAAAAAAAUAAAAUCUCCAAAACAAACCAUAACAGGUGUAUACACAAUAUUAUACAUUGAAUAAGUUAAUAUGAGGUGUGUUACACAAUGCAGUAAUUCAUGUUCACAAGAAAGGUCAGUUAACAUUCGGAUGCAUGACUGAAUGGCAAUAAUGUGGAUUUUCUGACUGUUAUAAGGCUGGUGGGAAGAAGAAUGUUGCUGGCUUUGAUAUGCCACUAGUUACUAUUAAUAUAUUGUACAAUACAAUACAUACAUAAGGCAGAUAUGUCCACCCAAUCCUAACAAAGCUGAAAGCUUUAAGGUUAUGGCUGCUUUAACUGUGAAGCAUCAGGCAUCACCAGCAAUGGUUCUGUAUAUGGAACACAACAUACUAGCUCUAACAUCCUUAAAAGGAACACUACAUUUAAAAAAAAAAUUGAGUUUCUUAAACUAUUUACAUUACUGCUUCCCCAUUUUAGCACUCAAAGGGUUAAAUGACACUCUCAUAUUUAUUCCAGUGCUGGGAAAGUCUCCACACUGCAGCUCCAAUCCGCCUCCUGUGAAGUCAUCAAUACAUAGGACUGUAUCAAUCAGAUCCUUCUGACAGGGAAACAUACCAAUGCUUCUCACAGAACUUUAAAAUUUAAGCUUCUCCACGAGAACCACUCACUUCUGUUCUGAACAGUUCCAGUCGAGAAAGGCAGGAAAUACUCUGAAUUGUCUGCUUUAAAGCAGACCAGUGUUACCUAGGAGAUUGUUAAUUUUUCUUUAUUGACACUACUUUCAUUUUAUUGCAUUUAUUAAAG
Non-coding RNA from Pelobates cultripes (western spadefoot toad), 823 nucleotides. The record is from the annotation of a GenBank genome assembly. Lineage: Eukaryota; Metazoa; Chordata; Amphibia; Anura; Pelobatidae.